Hemicordylus capensis (graceful crag lizard) is the source of this 1922-nucleotide long non-coding RNA. RefSeq lists it as uncharacterized. The record is from RefSeq and is a predicted model, not a curated record. The transcript has 3 exons. NCBI's taxonomy places the organism in Eukaryota, Metazoa, Chordata, Lepidosauria, Squamata, Cordylidae.
GUGAAGCCUGAACUCGAGUAGGGCCCAAGCCAGCCAGGAAGGAGGAGGCAGCCAGAGUGUUCUCUGCAGCAGAAGACCUCUUGCUGCACUGCUUAACCCAGACCAGCAUUUGCCAGGCAUGCUUCUGGAAUUUGCAUCUGUCCGCAUCUGGGGAAGUUCCCAUCAUGUAGUGAAGAAGUUAUCAUAUCCCAGGCUGCAUGCAGCAUGGUAGGUCACAUAACACUCAUUUGGAACACUUUUCCAUUGGCCCAGCAGUAGCGUAUAUUGUAAUGUGGACAAAUGCUUGAUAGCUGUGAUUGCAGAACAGAUAGUUCAACAGACAAAGUGGCAAAGAAAACCUCACCAAAAAACGGAUUGUCAGGUGCUGUCAAACUCAGUGUGGAAAUCCUAUAGAUAUGGCUCCUGCACCACUGAGCCUGUGGACUAGAAGACUAUAGGUAAUUUCACCUGGAACAUCCACACAACAGUGUAUAAUACUCCUGAUUUAGGUAGGCAGAUGACACCAGAGAGCCAAUCCAGAGACACUGUUUGAUAUAAAGAUCCAAUCUGACAUUUCCCUGGAGCAUUUCCAGACGGAACUUUUAGCUCGCUUCUCUACUGGAACGGAAGGUGUGUGUUCACAUAUUGGCCAGAUUUAUCCUGUGACAUAUCAGAGUGCACUCUAUAUACGAUUUGGGUUUCCCCCUACAUGUUGGAGCCUAGCCUGAUUUAUGUCUGGGUUAAAAAAAAUACACUUUUUGCGUCAGAGUAUCCGAUAUGCUCCAGACUCUCAGUAAAACUUUGCAGUAUAUCCACGGGAAAUCCUGCUGUCUGGGAAAGCUCCUGGACAACUGGUUGCUAUGGGAGGCCACCAGACUCUUGCUCUGUCAGGCUAACAAUCUUGAGCCCACCAGGUGCCUGCUUGACCUAUCUGUCUACCAAGUUGCUUGAAGGAAGGGUCAGAUAAUGUUGCUGCUGCCACUGGCUACCUUGACUGCUUGGAGAAGCCCAGGCAGUCUUCUACCCAUUCUCAAAGAUGGAGGCCACAUGUUUUGAGAGUAGUGCCUAAGGUUGGGAAGCAGGUAUGGGGCUAAGCGGUGGGGUGGGGCUGGGUUAUGUCAGCUCCAGACCAGGGCCAGGAUUAAUGCGGGGAGAGGAAGAAGCUUUUUUCCAGCAAGACUCAGGCAUGAGCAAACAUCAUGCAGGUACUAAAAAGGUUCAUAAUUAGUGGUAACUAUCACCUCUUGCUGUAACAACAGGAUUACAUAAUCUUCCCAAAGAUUGCUAUAGUAAUGCCUGAAGAUGUGUUUGGGACAAGGGAGUCUUUUGCGGACCUGAGAACUAUCUGUGCUUGCCAAUAGUUGAGCAUUGCUCUCAGGCUGGAACAGUAGAUUAAGGGUUUUAGAAGGUCUUCUGUUGCAGGUAGAUCCCUGGGAGAAAAGUGUAAGCCUUAUUGCUUCUGGGACUGGAAUUUGCUUUAAUCACUUCCAUGUUGUCAAAUAAUUUAAUAAAGUUUUAACCUUGUUCAACCCAGCCUCAAUACAUGCUUUUUCUUUCUUUCUUUCUUUCUUUCUUUCUUUUUUUGAAUGUUUUUACCCAGAAAUGUGGUAUGGUACAUUACAGUUCAGUAGUUUUCCUUACAGGACUUCAGUCUAUCUCCUUUGAACUCAAAAAAGGACUUUGCUAUUGACUUCAAAGAGAUUUGAAUUAAUGCCAUCAUUUGCUAUACACUUUUGAUGUAACUGAAAAUCUCUAGCCUUGAAUACUUUGCAUAUAUAAUACAAGCUGUACAGGCAUUAUCACCAGUGUUGAAAUGAAUUAUGCUUUGCUAUGUGUGCACCGUCAGUUUGAUUAAUGAAUUCUGAUUUAAUUUGAUAUGCAGAAUGUCAAAGUUUUGCAUUGAUAAUAUUACUGUUUACACCUCAGAUUCAAAUUUUUGGAAU